GCUUCAGCUUGCAUUAGUUCCAGCCAGCAUAGCCCAGCUGUCAGGGAUGAUGGGAGGCGUAGGCUAGCAGCAUCUGGAAUGGAUGAGAUUAUUCACCUCUGCCCUAAAUCAUGGGUAGGCAAACUAAGGCCCGGGGGCCGGAUCCAGCCCAAUCGCCUUCUAAAUCCGACCCGCGAACAAUCCGGGAAUCAGCGUGUUUUUACAUGAGUAGAAUGUGUGCUUUUAUUUAAAAUGCACCUCUGGGUUAUUUGUGGGGCAUAGGAAUUUGUUCAUUUCUCCCCCUUCAAAAUAUAGUCCGGCCCCCCACAAAGUCUGAGGGACAGUGUACCGGCCCCCUGCUGAAAACAUUUGCUGACCCCUGGGGCCUAAAUGAUGGUCAGGGGUGCCAUAGGCAACACUGGCCUCUGCCCCUCUUUCCUUCCCUCCCUCCUCUGAUGCCCUCUUGCACCUCUGUCAGGCCACUAAGCCUGGGGGCAUCCGCUUCCCAGGCUCCUGGGGGGGGCGGCAUGAGGAGGCACCUCUCUUUAGGGUGGGGGGUGGCAGCUCAGAGACCAGGAGCGGCAGCAGCGGCUGCCUGGAGGACUCCCAAGAAGAGGGGAGAGGAGAGGAGGCUGAGGAAACACUCCAAAAAGGAGGGUGUUCGAAAAAGUGCCAGAUCAGAUUUGGAGGGAGGAAGGAGAUUGCUUCCGAUUCGGACAGCAGGUAAGUCUGAAAGGAUAUUGAAUAAACUCACCUAUUUUAAAUGCUACCUGCCCUGGGAUUUAUUCACUGAAAAACAAAUGAGCAUGAAAUCCGGUAUGUAAAUUCUCCAAACAAACAGAUGAGAGAUGAGGAUGGCAAAGGCAGGUGAGACGGAAGACUAAAAUUAGCUGCACAGGGAAUCAGGUACUGGGAAAAGAGAGCAAGUUUACCUGGCGACACUUCUCCGUGGUGAUGUCUUCCUGCAUCGUUACCACAUUGGGAAUGGGCUUUAUGGGAACCAGGUCAACCCCUGAAAUCAAAGACACGGGAGG
RNAcentral lists this long non-coding RNA (1013 nucleotides) under Podarcis muralis (Common wall lizard). Its description in RNAcentral is "lncRNA (ENSPMRG00000016271.1)". The record is from RNAcentral. Lineage: Eukaryota; Metazoa; Chordata; Lepidosauria; Squamata; Lacertidae.